RNAcentral lists this long non-coding RNA (760 nucleotides) under Anas platyrhynchos platyrhynchos (common mallard). RNAcentral's name for it is "lncRNA (ENSAPLG00000018015.1)". Lineage: Eukaryota; Metazoa; Chordata; Aves; Anseriformes; Anatidae. The record is from RNAcentral.
UCUAGAAUAACCAAUAGCAAACACAGAAAAGGUCAGACAAAUGAAAAACCAAACAUGUCAGACAAAAGCAUACCUUUUGUUUCAAUUUCACUCCUAGAUUAACUGAGAAGUACAUUAUUUGGCAAGCUUGGAAUCUUCUGGACUUGUAUUUUGUUCUUUGAUAACUUUUAGAGCUUUGCACCAGCCAGUGGUAAAGAAAGAAGCGAAGGCAUCAACUGCGAGGCAAGAGUGGUGCAGAAGAGGUGCAGAGGAGCAAAGAGAAAGGCACACUGGGCAAAUGGCUGUCCCGGUCGUCAGGUCUGCGGACAUGUAAGAAAAGCAUGGCCGGCACCUUUGGUGUCCUCGCCAGCUUUGCAAAUUGGAGAGAAGGAGCUUCCGUUUGCCUUUGGGACCAGGGCUGCCCCAUAACUCGGGGCCCAGCCAGUGCCCUAGUGUCCACUUUGUGGUCCAGGCAGGGGCUUGAGCCCCCUAUAAGCAGGGGUGCAGCCUGUCUGGCUGCUGCUUUGCCUGCCCAGCUCUGUUUGCCCAGGGUGCCCGCCUCUGAGCCCAGCUCCAGCACCAGCUGGACCUCUUGUACGUGUCCUUCAGUGGCAGCCGGUGGCGAAGAAAGAAGAGGCAUCAUGUGGAACUGUGAGGCAAGAGUGAUGAAGUAAAGGUCUGAAAUGAAAGGUGCUUCUACUCCUUUUUCAAUAUUGCGGUAGUUUGAAAUGAAGUAGUCUGAUUAAAUAAAUCCUGUAAAUAUGUAGUAAGUUUAUAAGAC